Molecule: long non-coding RNA, 676 nt
Filed under: Brachypodium distachyon (stiff brome)
Lineage: Eukaryota; Viridiplantae; Streptophyta; Magnoliopsida; Poales; Poaceae
Description: long non-coding RNA (BDIS_LNC002046)
Source: RNAcentral
CUGCGAGGGUCUUGAUAUUAGUUUUUUUUAAGUUAGGCAUGAUACUAGUCCAAUCAUACAUGAAAAAACCCCAACCUUUCACUCACCUGUAGUGUUGUUUUCUUUUUUCUUUUAAACGCACUGUAGUAGGGGCUUAAACGGAUUUAACUCCUGCCUGUGAAGUUUUUGUUUUCUAAAACAGGAGAUUUAUUCCUUAACAACUUAGUGCAGAGAUAAGUGUUGACCCGUUGGGGCUUUGAAUAUUACAGAUCUGCCAUAGGUCAAGUAGCACUUCUAUGAUCAUCCAUGAUCCCUAUUGAUACAGGUUAGAACAGGGAUACAUCCUGAAAUCCGCGAGCUUUGAUGCCCACCGAAUUGUUAUCUCCAGGAGUGAAGAUCAUCUUGGAUUUCGUCCUAGACAGAAAGGAGAUAAUCUGAAGAAUCUGCUGCCUGAUGGACCAAUGUCCAGGAUGAUCGAGCACAUGAUUAUGCUGGCAAGCCAACGGGAUACUUUGGUUAUGACCGAUCUGCUUCGCUUCCUUGAGGCCUAGGUACCGAAUUGCCUAGCCAUCGAUCUAAGUGCUCAGGCAGUCAGGCCUACUGUCGCUGCCCAUUGGAAUUCGCUGAUCAUUCAGCUGCCGCGGCUUUGGGCCAGCCGGCUUGGCCGAUAGGCGCCACCGUACAGAGCACCCAGAAG